GGGGUUGCAUAGAUAAAAAGAAGAUUACUAAUUUAGGUUACAGAAAUAUAAAUUCCCCAUGAGAAAAAACCAUUUAAACCGAAUGAAUCAUUUGCCAUGCAGCUUCGACACGUCUUCUUACUAUAAGCGCGCUUGGUUCCAAUGAUGUGCUGUUGUUGCUAUUCAAGCUUGAAUUACCAUGGAAACCUUUAUAUACUCGAGGACAAAAAAAAAAAAAGAAAAGGAAAUUUACUAGCUCUUGUCCAGCUACUUGAUUGACCUAACCAAGGAAGACUUGCAACGUCAAUUAACCCAUUAAAGGAAAAGUGUCUGCCGCAGGAAUUAGAUUGUCAUUUGCAGCAGAA
Molecule: long non-coding RNA, 344 nt
Filed under: Ricinus communis (castor bean)
Lineage: Eukaryota; Viridiplantae; Streptophyta; Magnoliopsida; Malpighiales; Euphorbiaceae
Description: long non-coding RNA (RCOM_LNC001996)
Source: RNAcentral